Molecule: ribosomal RNA, 76 nt
Filed under: Klebsiella pneumoniae subsp. pneumoniae KPNIH7
Lineage: Bacteria; Pseudomonadati; Pseudomonadota; Gammaproteobacteria; Enterobacterales; Enterobacteriaceae
Also listed under: 1 other name
Description: partial 23S ribosomal RNA
Rfam family: Bacterial large subunit ribosomal RNA
Source: RNAcentral
GUUGAUAGGCCGGGUGUGUAAGCGCAGCGAUGCGUUGAGCUAACCGGUACUAAUGAACCGUGAGGCUUAACCUUAC